UCUUUUGGUUUCUGCUUAUCUUGGAAGGUCUUUAUACUUCUUCAAUUCUGAGUAAUAAUUUUUCUAGACAUAGCAAUCUUGGAUGACAGUUAUUCUUUCAGGUUUAGAAUACAUUAUUCAAAGUCCUCUUGAAUUUUAGAGUUUGUGCUAAAAAAUCAGAAGUAAUCAUGAUUGGCAUGACUCUAUAUGUGAUCUAACAUUUUUUUUCCUCUUAAGACUAUUGAAAGUUUGUCCUGUUCUUUAUGUUAGGUCAUUUUAUUUUAUUUUUACUAGGGACUGAAACCAGGGGUGCUUUACCAUUGAGUUACAUUCCCAGCCCCUUUCUUUUAAAAUAAAAUUUUAACUUUAGAUAGGCUCUUGCUAAGAUACAUAUGGCCUUGUUAAGUUGCUGAGGCUGGCUUUAAACUAGUGACCCUCCUGCCUCAGACUCCUGAGUCACUGGAACUACAAGUACAUGCCACCUGUCAAGCUAUUUGUUAGGCGUUUUAAGUGUAAUGUGUUAGGAGAGGUUCUUUUUGAUCUUCACUAUUUGGGGUUCUGAAUCCUCCCUGUAUUUGGCUGCAUAUCUUACUUAAAGGUUUGGAACAUCUUCUUUUAUUAUUUCCUUGAAGCAGUCAUCCAUUCCCCUAGUCUGCUUCUCAUAACCCUCUUUGACUCCAGUGAUUCUUAAAUUUGGUCUCUUAAUGUUGUCACAAAGGUCUUGCAUAUUCUGAUCAGGGCACCUUUUUUUUUUUCUUCUUUUCUUUAGUACUGUCUGAAUGUCCAAGACUGGGCUCUUUAUCUUCCAGCUCUGAGAUUCUGUCUUCAGAAUGAUCUAC
Molecule: long non-coding RNA, 818 nt
Filed under: Marmota monax (woodchuck)
Lineage: Eukaryota; Metazoa; Chordata; Mammalia; Rodentia; Sciuridae
Source: RNAcentral